RNAcentral lists this unclassified non-coding RNA (273 nucleotides) under uncultured fungus. Its description in RNAcentral is "sequence contains ITS2". The stretch from base 1 to 52 matches the Rfam family "5.8S ribosomal RNA", at positions 103 to 154 of the family's 154-position model. The record is from RNAcentral. Lineage: Eukaryota; Fungi.
AACGCACAUUGCGCCCUUUGGUAUUCCGAAGGGCAUGCCUGUUCGAGCGUCAUUAUCACCCCUCAAGCCUUGUGCUUGGUGUUGGACGGCCCGGUCGAGGCGACUCGACCCCUCCUAAAGACAAUGACGGCGGCCUGUGGUUCCCCCGGUACACUGAGCUUCUCACCGAGCACGUAUCGGACCAGGGCACCCGGGACCCGGUCUUCUCCUCUUCACCGAGGAAAUUUUUAUCAGGUUGACCUCGGAUCAGGUAGGAAUACGCGCUGAACUUAA